AGACGAGCAACUACACGAGUUGCACAGGUUGCUCCCUCAUUCAUUGCUACUGCUGAAAAUGAUGCACCACGGCGAACAAGAGGGGCUCUUGGAAAAAGAUUAAGGCAAUAUGUUUAUGGAAUUUACACAGAUGAACAUACUAGAAUAACUAUUUUGAAUCCCGGGAGAACUUCGGAAGUACUUAUCUCUCAAGGUGGGCCAACUCAAGAAUCAAAGGCCAAAGAAGAGUGCUCCAAAGAAGAAGACAGUAGGUAUAGCUGCAAAACAGCAAUUCAAAAAGAACCCAACACCAAUUCCAUCUUAACCAACUGAUCAAGGAGAGCAAUAGUGAUUAUAUGGACCAACACAUGACACAUGCUAGAAUAAAAAUAGCCGUUGUCAAGAAAAAGGAAAAGGAGGUGACAGAAAGGCCAGUUAAAGAACUUGCACAUCCAGUUCGAAAGAGUGCUCGGAUUAUGAAUCAAUUCAAAGCUCCAAGAGGAAAAGGAGAUUGGGGUGUUGUGCAUAUUGACUAAUGGGAGGGUGCUGGACAUGGUCUCUUUUUAUGUGGUGCUGAUCUCUUUUUAUAUUUUCUUUUUUAGGAGGGUGCUGGAUAUUGUAUCUUUAUUGAUGGUAGUUGCUGCCAUUGUUUUUUAAGGAGGGUGCAUAUUGCCAUUGUUUU
Long non-coding RNA from Eucalyptus grandis, 661 nucleotides. RefSeq lists it as uncharacterized. The record is from RefSeq and is a predicted model, not a curated record. The transcript is spliced from 2 exons. Lineage: Eukaryota; Viridiplantae; Streptophyta; Magnoliopsida; Myrtales; Myrtaceae.